RNAcentral lists this ribosomal RNA (450 nucleotides) under uncultured bacterium. RNAcentral's name for it is "partial 16S ribosomal RNA". It matches the Rfam family "Bacterial small subunit ribosomal RNA", at positions 354 to 796 of the family's 1533-position model. The record is from RNAcentral.
GUGGGGAAUUUUGGACAAUGGGCGCAAGCCUGAUCCAGCAAUGCCGCGUGCAGGAAGAAGGCCUUCGGGUUGUAAACUGCUUUUGUACGGAACGAAACGGUCCUGGCUAAUAUCCGGGGCUAAUGACGGUACCGUAAGAAUAAGCACCGGCUAACUACGUGCCAGCAGCCGCGGUAAUACGUAGGGUGCGAGCGUUAAUCGGAAUUACUGGGCGUAAAGCGUGCGCAGGCGGUGCUGUAAGACAGGCGUGAAAUCCCCGGGCUCAACCUGGGAAUUGCGCUUGUGACUGCAGUGCUGGAGUGCGGCAGAGGGGGAUGGAAUUCCGCGUGUAGCAGUGAAAUGCGUAGAUAUGCGGAGGAACACCGAUGGCGAAGGCAAUCCCCUGGGCCUACACUGACGCUCAUGCACGAAAGCGUGGGGAGCAAACAGGAUUAGAUACCCGAGUAGUCC